AACGAACGCUGGCGGCGUGCUUAACACAUGCAAGUCGAACGGAAAGGCCCUGAUUUUGUGGGGUGCUCGAGGGCCGAACGGGUGAGUAACACGUGAGUAACCUGCCCUAGACUUUGGGAUAACUUCAGGAAACUGGGGCUAAUACCGGAUAGGAGCUCCUGCUGCAUGGUGGGGGUUGGAAAGUUUCGGCGGGCGGGGAUGGACUCGCGGCUUAUCAGCUUGUUGGUGGGGUGGUGGCUUACCAAGGCUUUGACGGGUAGCCGGCCUGAGAGGGUGACCGGCCACAUUGCGACUGAGAUACGGCCCAGACGCGCAUAGGAGGCAGAAGGGGGGAAUAUUGCCCAACGAGGCCGAGCAUGAUGAAACAACGUCGGGGUGGGAAAGACGGUCUGUGGGUUAGGAAACGCAUUCGCCUGGGACCAAGCGUGUGUGACGGUAAUCGGGAAAGAAGCACCGGCUAACUACGUG
Molecule: ribosomal RNA, 468 nt
Filed under: uncultured bacterium
Lineage: Bacteria
Description: partial 16S ribosomal RNA
Rfam family: Bacterial small subunit ribosomal RNA
Source: RNAcentral